This is a small nucleolar RNA of Gasterosteus aculeatus aculeatus (three-spined stickleback), 127 nucleotides long. Its record names the gene SNORD22. It matches the Rfam family "Small nucleolar RNA SNORD22". Rfam says of the family: U22 is a member of the C/D class of snoRNA which contain the C (UGAUGA) and D (CUGA) box motifs. U22 is encoded within the U22 snoRNA host gene (UHG) in mammals and has also been identified in Xenopus. NCBI's taxonomy places the organism in Eukaryota, Metazoa, Chordata, Actinopteri, Perciformes, Gasterosteidae. The record is from Ensembl.
CCUUUGUGAUGACAUCCGCAUACGUCUUACGCCUCUGUUUAACGCCAGAACCUGUAAAGGUGGACCCACUGGUGUUGCCUUGGCAAUAAGGGGAAGGAAAGUUGGUGUCGCCAACAGUCUGAAUGGA